Molecule: ribosomal RNA, 438 nt
Filed under: uncultured bacterium
Lineage: Bacteria
Description: bacterial SSU rRNA
Rfam family: Bacterial small subunit ribosomal RNA
Source: RNAcentral
UGAGGAAUAUUGGUCAAUGGGCGCGAGCCUGAACCAGCCAAGUAGCGUGAAGGAUGACUGCCCUAUGGGUUGUAAACUUCUUUUAUAGGGGAAUGAAAGAUGAGGCACGUGUGCCUUUUUGUAUGUACUUUAUGAAUAAGGAUCGGCUAACUCCGUGCCAGCAGCCGCGGUAAUACGGAGGAUCCGAGCGUUAUCCGGAUUUAUUGGGGUUUAAAGGGAGCGUAGAUGGGUUGUUAAGUCAGUUGUGAAAGUUUGCGGCUCAACCGUAAAAUUGCAAUUGAUACUGGCGUCCUUGAGUACAGUUGAGGUGGGCGGAAUUCGUGGUGUAGCGGUGAAAUGCUUAGAUAUCACGAAGAACUCCUAUUGCGAAGGCAGCUGACUGUAUCGUAACUGACGCUGAAGCUCGAAAGUGUGGGGUAUCGAACAGGAUUAGAUACC